RNAcentral lists this ribosomal RNA (253 nucleotides) under uncultured bacterium. Its description in RNAcentral is "partial 16S ribosomal RNA". It matches the Rfam family "Bacterial small subunit ribosomal RNA", at positions 524 to 776 of the family's 1533-position model. The record is from RNAcentral.
GACGUAGGGCGCGAGCGUUGUCCGGAUUUAUUGGGCGUAAAGAGCUCGUAGGCGGCUUGUCGCGUCGACUGUGAAAUCCCGCGGCUCAACUGCGGGUCUGCAGCCGAUACGGGCAGGCUAGAGUUCGGUAGGGGAGACUGGAAUUCCUGGUGUAGCGGUGAAAUGCGCAGAUAUCAGGAGGAACACCGGUGGCGAAGGCGGGUCUCUGGGCCGAUACUGACGCUGAGGCACGAAAGCGUGGGGAGCAAACAGG